This is an RNA transcript of Tachysurus vachellii, 1836 nucleotides long. It is a transcript of the gene named immunoglobulin lambda-1 light chain-like, with no coding region annotated. The transcript has 2 exons. The record is from RefSeq and is a predicted model, not a curated record. NCBI's taxonomy places the organism in Eukaryota, Metazoa, Chordata, Actinopteri, Siluriformes, Bagridae.
CUUUUUAUUCCAUUUAUUCCACACUGUUACUGUUAUUGUGUAAGACACAACAUUACUGCAACAGUUAAACACAAGUAUUCUGACCCUUCAGUUUUAGUUUUGAUUCAAUUUAAGAUGGAACAAAUGCACAUUUUGACCAUCAGUCUUCAUAUCAUAACCCAAAACCACAAGUUCUAGCUUUCAGGUUGUAGCCUUGAUGAAUAGUGGAACAUUACAUGAACUCUGGAGCAGGUUUUCUUUAAGGACGUCUCUGUAUUUGUCUGUAUUCUUUCUCUCUCCCAGUUCUUGCCCCUCAGAAACCUUCCCACAGCAUGAUGCUGCCACCACCAUGCUUCAUCAUAGCAAUAGUUGUCAGGAUCCAGCCCGGACUUUGGCCACGUGCUUUUGUUUAUGUUCUGUGUCACGUGUCUGCCCCGCCCUUGUCUCUUCCUCCCCGCCUCUGCACAUCUGUUCCUCAUGUGUUCAAUUGUGUUGUGUAUUUAACCGUGCCGCGUUGCCUAUUGCAGCACGGAAUCCUCGUCUUAUGCCGUCUCGUCUCGUGUCUAGUCUGGUAUCGUCUGCAUCCUUGUUUUGUGUUUUUUAGUUAAUAAAUCCUGUUUAUUUUUUGCCAUCCUGAAUUUGGGUCUGUUUUUAUCCCUGCGUUACUGACAAUAGUACUAGCCAGUUAAUGAUGUUAAUGAUCUGGUUUACAUAGAUGUGGUACUUGGGAGUUCAGCAUAGAGUUCAGUUUUGUCUCAUCAGUUCAGAGAAUGUUGUUUGUCAUGUUCUCAGAGACUUUUAAGUGCCUGUCAUAUGGCUUUAACUCAGGAGUGGUUUCUGUCUAGCCACACAACCCUACAGACCUAAUAGAUGAAGUACUUCUGAGAUGGUUUGACCUCCAGCAGGUUCUGUCCUCUCUGUGGAGGACUUCUAAAGCUCUAAUUAGCGUGUUCACUGGGGUUUUAGUCACCUCCCUGACCAAGGCCCUUCUAGAAAUGGUUACUGAGUUUAGUCAGACAUUCAGCUGGAAGAAGAGACCUGGACGUGUGAACAGAACGGUGUAUAACAGAGACGUGUGAUUCACUGCCACUGGAACGGGAUCUUAAAGGAGUGUGUGCUGAUGGUAGACAGUAGAAGAGAGAGCUGAAGUCUGGAGGACGUUUCAGUUCUUCUGCUUUCACUUCUGUAUCUGAGGAGGUUUUUGUACGGGUGAGGACACUGAAUGAAUCACUGUGGUAUUCGGCCAAGGAACAAAGCUGAUCGUCAGCAGUAAGUAAAACUUCUCACCUCUUUUUUCCUACUCUAGACUUCUACACUGCUUCAGAUUCACACUUUUAUUUCUUUUCCCAGUUUGAGAAAUUUAUUCCGACACGUUUCGUACGUCUUUUAUUGUUUGUUUUAGACAAUUUACAAUAUUCUGUACUUUUAACAUGUGAGCCAGAGAAAUGUUCAGUUAUUUUCUCGGGUUGUAAUUAGUUUGAAAUGUAUUUCUAUUAUUAAAUGUUAAUUCAGAUCUCUCAUAUGGAAUCUGUCUCAACACAAAGUAUAAAUCUGUUCUAGUUCUUCAUUUUGUUCCUGAUCUUCUGCCACACAGACAGAUUUAUGGCUUCAUUGUGAACGGAAGCAUUUCUUUAAAAAUGUCUUAGAUUCCUGUGUGCACAUUAGAUUUGUGUUGUUUUGUGUAAUGAUUAUCUCCCUCUGUGUGUGGAAUCAGACGCUGCUCUCCCGUCUCCUGUUCUGAAGGUUCUCCCUCCGUCCACUGAAGAGCUGAAGACUAAUAAAGCCACUCUAGUGUGUUUGGCCAGCGACAUGUCUGUGGGUUUCGCUGACGUGAGUUGGCUCGUGGACGGGAAAUCG